RNAcentral lists this ribosomal RNA (468 nucleotides) under uncultured bacterium. Its description in RNAcentral is "partial 16S ribosomal RNA". It matches the Rfam family "Bacterial small subunit ribosomal RNA", at positions 28 to 507 of the family's 1533-position model. The record is from RNAcentral.
GACGAACGCUGGCGGCGUGCUUAACACAUGCAAGUCGAACGGAAAGGCCCUGCUUUUGUGGGGUGCUCGAGUGGCGAACGGGUGAGUAACACGUGAGUAACCUGCCCUUGACUUUGGGAUAACUUCAGGAAACUGGGGCUAAUACCGGAUAGGAGCUCCUGCUGCAUGGUGGGGGUUGGAAAGUUUCGGCGGUUGUGGAUGGACUCGCGGCUUAUCAGCUUGUUGGUGGGGUAGUGGCUUACCAAGGCUUUGACGGGUAGCCGGCCUGAGAGGGUGACCGGCCACAAUGGGACUGAGGGACGGCCCAGAAUCCUACGGGAGGCAGCAGUGGGGAAUAUUGCACAAUGGGCGGAAGCCUGAUGCAGCAACGCCGCGUGCGGGAUAACGGCCUUCGGGUUGUAAACCGCUUUCGCCUGUGACGAAGCGUGAGUGACGGUAAUGGGUAAAGAAGCACCGGCUAACUACGUG